GAGGAAAGAAGUGUGUGGGAGCUACCCAGAGAGGCUUGGCUGUUGGUCUAACUGCUGUAAGGAGGAAGUUGCUGCUGAUACUCUGAGAAGCGGUGGCAGUAUCACCAGGAGGAGCAUCACAGGCAGUGGGAAAGCAGAAGCACCAAGCCACAAAGAAAAUGAACAUCUAGCUCAGUGAAAUGGGGAGGUGCUACAACCAGAGAUGAAGACAACUCCACGAUUCAAGAUUUAGUGGUGCUUUCGACUGAGAUUGUAAGGGCUACAGCUCCAACUAAGGUGAGAGGGACACCAGAGACAGAAGAAGCAUUCCAAAAGGCGAAGGAUGCACUUUGUACACAGCCAUUGUUAUAUAC
This is a long non-coding RNA of Alligator sinensis (Chinese alligator), 353 nucleotides long. RefSeq lists it as uncharacterized. NCBI's taxonomy places the organism in Eukaryota, Metazoa, Chordata, Crocodylia, Alligatoridae. The transcript has 3 exons. The record is from RefSeq and is a predicted model, not a curated record.